UGGGGAAUAUUGGACAAUGGGCGCAAGCCUGAUCCAGCCAUGCCGCGUGUGUGAAGAAGGCCCUCGGGUUGUAAAGCACUUUAAGUUGUGAGGAAGGGUACUGGCUUAAUAGGUUGGUAUUUUGACGUUAGCAACAGAAUAAGCACCGGCUAACUCCGUGCCAGCAGCCGCGGUAAUACGGGGGGUGCGAGCGUUAAUCGGAAUUACUGGGCGUAAAGAGCACGUAGGCGGUUUGAUAAGUUGGAUGUGAAAGCCCAGGGCUCAACCCUGGAACGGCAUACAAAACUGUUGAACUCGAGUAAGGGAGAGGAGAGUGGAAUUUCCAGUGUAGCGGUGAAAUGCACAGAUAUUGGAAGGAACACCAGUGGCGAAGGCGACUCUCUGGCCUAUUACUGACGCUGAGGUGCGAAAGCGUGGGGAGCAAACAGGAUUAGAUACCCCCGUAGUCC
Molecule: ribosomal RNA, 449 nt
Filed under: uncultured prokaryote
Description: bacterial SSU rRNA
Rfam family: Bacterial small subunit ribosomal RNA
Source: RNAcentral